This 467-nucleotide ribosomal RNA is filed under the name uncultured bacterium. Its description in RNAcentral is "partial 16S ribosomal RNA". It matches the Rfam family "Bacterial small subunit ribosomal RNA", at positions 29 to 507 of the family's 1533-position model. The record is from RNAcentral.
ACGCACGCUGGCGGCGUGCUUAACACCUGCAAGUCGAACGGAAAGGCCCUGCUUUUGUGGGGUGCUCGAGUGGCGAACGGGUGAGUAGCACGUGAGUAACCUGCCCUUGACUUUGGGAUAACUUCAGGAAACUGGGGCUAAUACCGGAUAGGAGCUCCUGCUGCAUGGUGGGGGUUGGAAAGUUUCGGCGGUUGGGGAUGGACUCGCGGCUUAUCAGCUUGUUGGUGGGGUAGUGGCUUACCAAGGCUUUGACGGGUAGCCGGCCUGAGAGGGUGGCCGGCCACAUUGGGACUGAGAUACGGCCCAGACUCCUACGGGAGGCAGCAGUGGGGAAUAUUGCACAAUGGGCGGAAGCCUGAUGCAGCAACGCCGCGUGCGGGAUGACGGCCUUCGGGUUGUAAACCGCUUUCGCCUGUGACGAAGCGUGAGUGACGGUAAUGGGUAAAGAAGCACCGGCUAACUACGUG